GACAUAGGUGGCAAACGUUAUCCGGAAUUAUUGGGCGUAAAGGGUGCGUAGAUGGUCUGGUAAGUUAGUAGUGGGAAAUCGAGGCUCAACCUCGUGGAAGUCACUAAUACUGCUUUACUUGAGUUCAGGAGAGGUUAAUAGAAUUCCCUGUGGAGCGGUGAAAUGCGUCGAUAUAGGGAGGAAUAUCAAUAAAGGCGAAGGCAAUUAACUAUUCUGCUACUGACAUUGAGGCACGAAAGCGUGGGGAGCAAAACGG
This 256-nucleotide ribosomal RNA is filed under the name uncultured bacterium. Its description in RNAcentral is "partial 16S ribosomal RNA". It matches the Rfam family "Bacterial small subunit ribosomal RNA", at positions 524 to 776 of the family's 1533-position model. The record is from RNAcentral.